GGGAUUGUGGCUCAGCAGUAGAGCAUUCGCCUAGCACGGGCGAAACCUGGGUUCAAUCCCCAGCACCA
Ictidomys tridecemlineatus (thirteen-lined ground squirrel) is the source of this 68-nucleotide non-coding RNA. The record is from Rfam. NCBI's taxonomy places the organism in Eukaryota, Metazoa, Chordata, Mammalia, Rodentia, Sciuridae.